UCCAUGAGGAUGAAAGUUCACCUGGAUGGAGCCAUUUCAACAUUCCUACUGACUCAGGGAGAUCAUCCGAGGAAAGUUCAGAUGAGGACACCAUAACCCGUGUUCACAAAUGGUCAAUAAACCCAGAUUCGGAGUGUUUAGUAACAGAACUUAGCCUGGAGCGGGUGUAACGUAAGUCAGCAGGUCUGAACCUUAGACUGUCUGGACCACCUCCUCAUUGCAGAGGUGGCGAUGCUGGGCCUGCCCUGCUCACACGGCUGAAGAGUAUCACUGGGAAGGAAGUGGGCUCGUGAGAUAAUCCAAUCCAGUGCUUCCCAGCCUUUAAUGAGAAAUGGUAAACCAGUGCAAGGAAGAGCACAGAUUCUGGAGUCAGAUGGCCGUCCAGUGAUGGAAUUCUGGCUCUGCCACUAUCAGCUGUGAGUUGAGCAAGCGCCCUGAAAACUGUGACGUGGAAAUUAUAACACGUGAGCACAGAGAACAGCACAGAGUGCAUUCCACAAAUUGUGGCUCUUGGCUGACCCAGACCCAGUGAGAGGCAGCUCUGCCCUGGCCCCAGGCUUCACAGGGCCCCAAUCCAGCCCCUACCCACUGGGGUGAGGACAUCACCUGGAGCUCAUGUGUCUUUCUGUAGACCACAUUCCAGCAGGUCACUGGGUUGCCAGGGGUUCUGCUUCCUCCCACCUGCCUCUUCUAGACUCCCCACCCAGAGCCUUUUAACACUGACUGCCAGUCCAGUGCUGGUAUGAGAAACUGGGACUCUGCACACUCUGUGGUCCACGACUCCUGCAGGGUGGGGCUGAUGUCACCUUCACAGGACUUCCACCCAAGGCUGCAGCCUUGAGAGGCUUCCUCCUUCCCCGGCCUGCUCCCCACUCUCUCACAGUUUCAGGUAAGAACAAACAGAAGUAGCCAGCGUCAUUACCGCGGAGAUCCCCAGGGCCAGCGCACAGCGACCUGUGCCUCUUGGUCCUUUCCUCACCAAAUCAGCCCUGGCGCCCUGGCAGAUGAGAUUCAGAUGCUCAGCACCCCCGCAGCAACAGUGAGGCAGCUCUGGCAAUAAGCAAAAAUGGUGGGCGGCAGCCUCCUGGAGCGCGCCGGGUCCGUGACAGUAGAGAAAGAAAGCUUUCUACCUAACACCUCCUCUCCUCCAGGACAGUUCGAACAAGUGUGGUCUGGACCCAGAGCAUUGGAAGGAGUCUGCUGCCAGCCAAAGGGCAAGCUGUUGCCCCUACCGAGCAGCCCUGCAGAGAGGCUGGAACAUCACAUGCAGCAUUUUUCCAGGUCACGCCAAAGUUGAGAUCUUUUUCCAAUCAGGGCACAAAGGAUUCCUACUUAGUGCUUUAAGAAGGAAAUCAUCGCUGUUUACCUUCAAAUGCAGACACCCUGAGUAAUUUCAGGCUGGUUUGGACAUGCAGGAUUUGAAGCAGAGCACAGCAAAACGGUUGAUAGAAUUAAUCAGGAUGUGAAUCAGUGCAAUUUGUUAGAUACUGCAACAAUGCCUUUCAUGCUAAUUUUUAAAUGGCAGAGGCCAUCAGGGGCUGGUGGGGACCAGUGUUCAGUGUCCUGUUGCUAGGAAGAGAGGGAUAACAUCAUAGUCUGCAGUCCUGGGCAGAUGCAUUUUGGGGCCUUAUAUUGGUUGUGCAAAUCUCAGCAGGUUUGGCAGGACAGGACUGCUGCUGUCGUCCCCAGCUGUGGAAAGUUAAAGAGAUCAAGUAGGCUGGGUGCGGUGGUUCACACCUGUAAUCUCAGCACUUUGGGAGGCUGAGGCGGGUGGAUCACCUGAGGUCAAGAGUUUGAGACCAGCCUGACCAAUAUGGUGAAACCCUGUAUCUACUAAAAAUACAAAAAUUAGCCAGGCAUGAUGGUGCACACCUGUAAUCCCAGCUACUCGGGAGGCUGAGGCAGGAGAAUCGCUCGAACCCAGGAGGUGGAGGAUGCAGUGAGCCAAGAUUGUGCCACAGCACUCCAGCCUGGGCAACAAGAGCAAAACUCCAUCAAAAAAAAAAAAAAGAUAAAUUAUUCUUGGCUGAAUAAAGAAUAAAACUCUACACACACACACACACACACACACUUUAUGAGAGGCACAUGCUCUGAAAUUGUGUAAAAAUAGUAUUAAUAAAUUGAUGUGAAUGUGGCUUCAAAAGUA
Long non-coding RNA from Pan troglodytes (chimpanzee), 2146 nucleotides. RefSeq lists it as uncharacterized. The transcript has 3 exons. The record is from RefSeq and is a predicted model, not a curated record. Lineage: Eukaryota; Metazoa; Chordata; Mammalia; Primates; Hominidae.